GUGAAAAGAGACCUUCUCUUAGGACAAAUGAUUCAUUCGCAUUGAGCGCAAAGAUCGAAAUGAUAAAGGCGUUGCCUUCAUCAAUCCCAAGCAUUGCACUGAUCUCUUGUUACCCCUUUGGGCUGGAAAAAAAAGAUGAUCCUUCAAAGUACCCCUAUCGAGAACGACCCUACAUUGGGGCAACAUAGGAGGUUACGGUCGUGUUGUAAAACGAAAG
Molecule: long non-coding RNA, 217 nt
Filed under: Eucalyptus grandis
Lineage: Eukaryota; Viridiplantae; Streptophyta; Magnoliopsida; Myrtales; Myrtaceae
Description: long non-coding RNA (EGRA_LNC006889)
Source: RNAcentral